GACGAACGCUGGCGGCGUGCUUAACACAUGCAAGUCGAACGGAAAGGCCCUGCUUUUGUGGGGUGCUCGAGUGGCGAACGGGUGAGUAACACGUGAGUAACCUGCCCUUGACUGUGGGAUAACUUCAGGAAACUGGGGCUAAUACCGGAUAGGAGCUCCUGCUGCAUGGUGGGGGUUGGAAAGUUUCGGCGGUUGGGGAUGGACUCGCGGCUUAUCAGCUUGUUGGUGGGGGAGUGGCUUACCAAGGCUUUGACGGGUAGCCGGCCUGAGAGGGUGACCGGCCACAUUGGGACUGAGAUACGGCCCAGACUCCUACGGGAGGCAGCAGUGGGGAAUAUUGCACAAUGGGCGGAAGCCUGAUGCAGCAACGCCGCGUGCGGGAUGACGGCCUUCGGGUUGUAAACCGCUUUCGCCUGUGACGAAGCGUGAGUGACGGUAAUGGGUAAAGAAGCACCGGCUAACUACGUG
RNAcentral lists this ribosomal RNA (468 nucleotides) under uncultured bacterium. Its description in RNAcentral is "partial 16S ribosomal RNA". It matches the Rfam family "Bacterial small subunit ribosomal RNA", at positions 28 to 507 of the family's 1533-position model. The record is from RNAcentral.